AGAGCGCAGGGGAGGUGCUUAG
RNAcentral lists this microRNA (22 nucleotides) under Bombyx mori (domestic silkworm). Its description in RNAcentral is "bmo-miR-2777-3p". Lineage: Eukaryota; Metazoa; Arthropoda; Insecta; Lepidoptera; Bombycidae. The record is from miRBase by way of RNAcentral.